UUCAAAUGAAUUGACGGGGGCCCGCACAAGCGGUGGAGCAUGUGGUUUAAUUCGAUGCAACGCGAAGAACCUUACCUACUCUUGACAUCCAGAGAACUUAGCAGAGAUGCUUUGGUGCCUUCGGGAACUCUGAGACAGGUGCUGCAUGGCUGUCGUCAGCUCGUGUUGUGAAAUGUUGGGUUAAGUCCCGCAACGAGCGCAACCCUUAUCCUUUGUUGCCAGCGAUUCGGUCGGGAACUCAAAGGAGACUGCCAGUGAUAAACUGGAGGAAGGUGGGGAUGACGUCAAGUCAUCAUGGCCCUUACGAGUAGGGCUACACACGUGCUACAAUGGCAUAUACAAAGAGAAGCGACCUCGCGAGAGCAAGCGGACCUCAUAAAGUAUGUCGUAGUCCGGAUUGGAGUCUGCAACUCGACUCCAUGAAGUCGGAAUCGCUAGUAAUCGUGGAUCAGAAUGCCACGGUGAAUACG
This 470-nucleotide ribosomal RNA is filed under the name uncultured bacterium 90211com. Its description in RNAcentral is "bacterial SSU rRNA". It matches the Rfam family "Bacterial small subunit ribosomal RNA", at positions 900 to 1370 of the family's 1533-position model. The record is from RNAcentral.